UGAACCUGAGAGUUUGAUCCUGGCUCAGAGCGAACGCUGGCGGCAUGCUUAACACAUGCAAGUCGCACGAACCUUUCGGGGUUAGUGGCGGACGGGUGAGUAACGCGUAGGAACCUAUCUGGAGGUGGGGGAUAACAUCGGGAAACUGGUGCUAAUACCGCAUGAUGCCUGAGGGCCAAAGGAG
Molecule: ribosomal RNA, 184 nt
Filed under: Parasaccharibacter apium
Lineage: Bacteria; Pseudomonadati; Pseudomonadota; Alphaproteobacteria; Acetobacterales; Acetobacteraceae
Description: partial 16S ribosomal RNA
Rfam family: Bacterial small subunit ribosomal RNA
Source: RNAcentral